This 253-nucleotide ribosomal RNA is filed under the name uncultured bacterium. RNAcentral describes it as "partial 16S ribosomal RNA". It matches the Rfam family "Bacterial small subunit ribosomal RNA", at positions 524 to 776 of the family's 1533-position model. The record is from RNAcentral.
UACGAAGGGGGCUAGCGUUGUUCGGAAUCACUGGGCGUAAAGCGCACGUAGGCGGAUCUUUAAGUCAGGGGUGAAAUCCCGAGGCUCAACCUCGGAACUGCCUUUGAUACUGGGGAUCUCGAGUCCGGGAGAGGUGAGUGGAACUGCGAGUGUAGAGGUGAAAUUCGUAGAUAUUCGCAAGAACACCAGUGGCGAAGGCGGCUCACUGGCCCGGAACUGACGCUGAGAUGCGAAAGCGUGGGGAGCAAACAGG